GGCCCUAUGGCGCAACGGUAGCGCGUUUGACUCCAGAUCAAAAGGUUAUCCGUUCAAAUCGGGUUGGGGUCA
Ceratocystis platani is the source of this 72-nucleotide transfer RNA. It matches the Rfam family "tRNA". Rfam says of the family: Transfer RNA (tRNA) molecules are approximately 80 nucleotides in length. Their secondary structure includes four short double-helical elements and three loops (D, anti-codon, and T loops). The record is from Rfam. Lineage: Eukaryota; Fungi; Ascomycota; Sordariomycetes; Microascales; Ceratocystidaceae.